This is a long non-coding RNA of Zalophus californianus (California sea lion), 3136 nucleotides long. RefSeq lists it as uncharacterized. Lineage: Eukaryota; Metazoa; Chordata; Mammalia; Carnivora; Otariidae. The record is from RefSeq and is a predicted model, not a curated record. The transcript is spliced from 4 exons.
AAUUAAUACUAAUGCCAGACACUUGGCCUGAAGUAUCAUCUUCUCAUUUUGAUGUAGAGUUUCCCUCUUCAUUUGGUCUUCCUUUUUUUUUUUUCUUCUCAAAUGAUAAAGAAUAAAUAAGACUGAAUAUGCAGAGCACUACUUCGUUUGAAAAUUGGCUUUCUCAGUACCAGGCAUAAGUUUGUACUUUUCUACAACCCAAGGCCCAUAGAACCCCUACCGUUAAGCUGCUCCAUGAUACCUAUGAGAUCUCUGAAAUUCUGGUCUGACAGUUCUGAGAUGACUCAGUCUUGCUCCAAGUUCAGAAUGUAGCUUAUUCACAUAUACAAGGAAAAGGCUAUAGAAACUAUUUUCUUUGGGAGUGGAGUCAAAUACUUGGUGGGGGAAAAAAUAGCUCCAUGAAGAUAAACCAAGAGGAAGAUGGGUAGGCAAAACUAAUACUCCAUUAGGAAAGGAUGUGUUUUUAAUCUCUAUAAAUAAUCAGGGUUGAACCAGUAGGAUAUCUACAUCUACCUACCUACCUACCUACCUAUCUAUCUUGAUACUAUGUAGAAAGAGAUUUAUUAUGAGAGACUGGCUCACAUUAUUACAGAGGCUGAGAAGUCCCAUGAUCUGCCAUCUGCAAGCUGGAGAACAGGAAAGCUGACGGUGUAGUUCUAAUCCGAACCGGAAGGCCUGAGAACCAGGGAUGCCGACAGUGGGAGACAGACUCUCUUUUUCCCAGAUCCAUGUCAAAAAAAUACUGGGGAAGAACUGCAAUUGGCCAUUUCAGGUGGCUUCUCACCCUUGGACCAAUCAGCUGUGACAAGGAGGGCUGGAUCAUGUUUUAUUUACUUGAGAGUGAGAGCACAAGCAAGGUGAGAGGCUGAGAGUAAGAAGCAGACUCCCUGCCGAGCAUGGAGACCGACGUGGGGCUCGAUCUCAGGACCUGGGAUCGUGACCUGAGCCGAAGGCAGACACCCAAUAGACUGAGCCCUACCCAGGAGCGCCUCCAUUUCUUGGGGUUCUCAAUGGGGAUUGAUUUCAUCCUCCAGAAGAUAUUUCUGUGUGGAAACAAAGAAUUAUCCAGCCCCAAAUGUCAAUAGUGCCAAGGCUGAGAAAAUCUGGUGUACAAGAAGUGUCCACCUUCCUUUGGGGAUUGUUUUCUCUGAACUGGACAAUGCAGUUUUGGUGGAGCCAUAAACCAUACACCUACUCUCUGACUCCGAUGGCAAGGACCUCACUAGGCUGGGUCCAGGUUUGGAGCCCCACUUCCAUGGCCAUAUGACCAAGAAUGGACAUUUGGAUCAACCUGCACCGAUCCUGGCCUGGGGAUGUAUCCUGCAGAUGCAUUCCUACAGAUGUGCAUGGCGAUUGACCAGGAUAUUCAAGAAUUAUUUGUAAUAGCACUUACCACCCGAAUUUUUAUCAAAGGGUGACUGAUUAAAUUAUGGUAAAGUCAUACAAAGAAACACUGUCUUGUGUUUGUUUGUAAAGAGCUAACUGGGUAAGCUAGAACAUUUCCCAGAGUGCCCUUUCCUGGAGGAUACCUGAGUUAGAAUUGUCUAAAAGAGGAAUUGGUGGAAGCCUUGGAAGAUGGAAGUGAUCAGCAUCAUGACUCUCUUAGGGGCGUAGAAGUGAGAUGUAGUGCCAGACAGACUCAGGGGUGCUGGUGGUUUUUAGCAGGCCCUUGCUCUUUUUUACUCCAUGUCCAGCUUUGCUCGAUGUCCUUUUCUUUGCUCCAUGUCUUCCUGACUGGUACUUUGCCACAGACCUGCAGAAGGAACAGCUGCCCAUAGACUUGCCCCCCAUUUUCCUUUUUGGUCCUGUUUUGGCAGCAGGAUGUGCCUGGCUUCUUAGGUUGACUGGUUGGUGAUUCCUCUGAAAUGUCAACUCCCCCUUUUGGAUCUCUGCUUCCCCAGCUACCCCCCAAUAUAGAGUCUAAUUUCUAUAAUAUAUCCCUAAUAUCAUAACUCUAAAUGGUUUUGCUUCCCUGAUCGAACCCUGGCUGACACAACUGUAUAACCUUUGAAAGCAAUGAGGCAGCUCUAUAUACUGAUGUGAAUUGAUCUCCUAGAUAUAUUAAGUGAAAACAGCAAGGUGCUAAACUGAUGAAAAAUAUUACAGAUAAAGCUAGAGUCCGUUUUGACCAAUAACUCUAAUCCUGGUCCCCAUUUCUUUUCCCCAGAGGUAAAUACUGUUAUUAACUCUAAAUCAAUUCUUAUGGUCUGGGGAAGAGUCCUCAGCAAAUUGCAACUCCUGUAGGAGUUGUUGUGACAAGAUUAUUUUAUUGACAUAUAAGUAACAUAGAAUAAAAUGCACACAUUUUAAGUGCUCACCUUGGUGAGUUUUGAUAAUUGUAUAAACCUGUGUAGCCAUCGCCCCAAACAAGACAUAGACCAUCCCUCCUCAUUUUUCUGUGUUCUUUUCUGGUCAGUUAUCCUACCCACUAUUGUAACCACUACCUCAUUUCUUUUCUUUCUUUCUUUUUUUAGAUUUUAUUUAUUUAUUUAUUUAUUUUAGAGGAGGGAGAGUGUGUUGGUGCAUGCGUGAGUGGUGUCGGUGGGGGGAUGGGUGGAGGGGCAGAGGGAGAAGGAACCUCAAGCCGACUCUGCACUCAGCACAGAGCCUGAUGCGGGGCUCAAGAUCAUGAACCUGAGAUCAUGACCUGAGCUGAAGCCAAGUCGGUUGCUUAACUGACUGAGUCACCCAAGUGCCCCACCACUAUCUCAUUUCUGUCUCCAUUAGUUUUACUUGGCUUUCAUAUAAAUGGAAUUAUAUAGUAUGUAUUCUUUGAGUCUGGCUUUUUUAUUCAGCUUAAUGUCUUUUGAGAUUUGUCCAUAUUGUUUUUUAUGUAUCAGUAGUUGAUUCUUUUUAUGGCUGAGUAAUAUUCCAUUAUAUAGAUAGGCCCACAGUGUGUUUAUCCACUUCCUGUUGCUGGACAUUUGGGUUGUUUCCAGUUUGGGGCCGUUAUAAACUCUUAUAGCAUUUUGAAUGUAACUAAAAAGAGAUUGCUGGGGCCCUUAUUUGUAGUAUUUUAAAGACUGUGCAAACCACUACCUUAAUUUUCCCAGAGAACCUUUACUUCCUCUACAAAGAAUCAGAAAUUAGGUAAGAAAUUGUAAUUUGUACUUUUUUCCCCCAAAGUCUUACUAUA